CCUACGUGUGGCAGCAGUGGGGAAUAUUGGACAAUGGGCGAAAGCCUGAUCCAGCCAUGCCGCGUGUGUGAAGAAGGCCUUCGGGUUGUAAAGCACUUUCAGUGGGGAAGAAAGCCUUGGGGCUAAUACCCUCGAGGAAGGACAUCACCCACAGAAGAAGCACCGGCUAACUCCGUGCCAGCAGCCGCGGUAAUACGGAGGGUGCGAGCGUUAAUCGGAAUUACUGGGCGUAAAGCGCGCGUAGGCGGUCUGAUAAGCCGGUUGUGAAAGCCCCGGGCUCAACCUGGGAACGGCAUCCGGAACUGUCAGGCUAGAGUGCAGGAGAGGAAGGUAGAAUUCCCGGUGUAGCGGUGAAAUGCGUAGAGAUCGGGAGGAAUACCAGUGGCGAAGGCGGCCUUCUGGACUGACACUGACGCUGAGGUGCGAAAGCGUGGGUAGCAAACAGGAUUAGAUCCCGUGUAGUC
RNAcentral lists this ribosomal RNA (464 nucleotides) under Vreelandella stevensii. Its description in RNAcentral is "partial 16S ribosomal RNA". It matches the Rfam family "Bacterial small subunit ribosomal RNA", at positions 338 to 795 of the family's 1533-position model. The record is from RNAcentral. Lineage: Bacteria; Pseudomonadati; Pseudomonadota; Gammaproteobacteria; Oceanospirillales; Halomonadaceae.